This 446-nucleotide ribosomal RNA is filed under the name uncultured bacterium. RNAcentral describes it as "partial 16S ribosomal RNA". It matches the Rfam family "Bacterial small subunit ribosomal RNA", at positions 338 to 795 of the family's 1533-position model. The record is from RNAcentral.
CCUACGGGUGGCAGCAGUCGAGAAUCAUUCACAAUGGGGGAAACCCUGAUGGUGCGACGCCGCGUGGGGGAAUGAAGGUCUUCGGAUUGUAAACCCCUGUCAUGUGGGAGCAAAUUAAAAAGAUAGUACCACAAGAGGAAGAGACGGCUAACUCUGUGCCAGCAGCCGCGGUAAUACAGAGGUCUCAAGCGUUGUUCGGAAUCACUGGGCGUAAAGCGUGCGUAGGCUGUUUCGUAAGUCGGGUGUGAAAGGUGCGGGCUCAACCCGCGGACGGCACAUGUUACUGCGAGACUAGAGUAAUGGAGGGGUGACCGGAAUGCUCGGUGUAGCAGUGAAAUGCGUAGAUAUCGAGAGGAACACUCGUGGCGAAGGCGGGUUCCUGGACAUUAACUGACGCUGAGGCACGAAGGCCAGGGGAGCGAAAGGGAUUAGAUACCCUUGUAGUC